Molecule: ribosomal RNA, 441 nt
Filed under: uncultured bacterium
Lineage: Bacteria
Description: partial 16S ribosomal RNA
Rfam family: Bacterial small subunit ribosomal RNA
Source: RNAcentral
CCUACGGGUGUCAGCAGUGGGGAAUAUUGCACAAUGGGGGAAACCCUGAUGCAGCAACGCCGCGUGGGUGAAGGAGCGUUUCGGCGCGUAAAGCCCUGUCAGCGGGGAAGAAGAAAGACGGUACCCGACCAAGAAGCAACGGCUAACUACGUGACAGCAGCCGCGGUAAUACGGAGGGGUCGAGCGUGAUCCGGAUUUACUGGGUGUAAAGGGAGCGUAGACGGCGGGGUAAGCCUGAGGUGGAAGCCCGCGGCCCAACUGCGGAACUGCUGUGGAAACUGUUUUGCUGGAGUAUGGGUGGGGUAAGCGGAAUGGAUGGUGUAGCGGUGAAAUGCGUAGAGAUCAGGAGGAACACCGGUGGCGAAGGCGGCUUACGGGACCAUAACUGACGUUGAGGCUCGAAAGCGUGGGGAGCGAACAGGAUUAGAUACCCCAGUAGUC